GUAACUAUUAUAGUUUUCUGAUGCUAACUGCUAUUUCAAAAGGUUGUAAAAAGGUCCUACUGACAGGCGAGCCUGCCGAGGAAACAAUUGAGUGCGCAAAAAACAGGGCAAUAUUCAGACAGGACCAGCAUAGGGAGUGCAGAAGCAACAUCGCUAAGCCAGUCCCCGAUAUUCGUAAUGAUCCUUCCGCAGGUUCACCUACGGAAA
This 207-nucleotide unclassified non-coding RNA is filed under the name uncultured fungus. Its description in RNAcentral is "sequence contains ITS1". The record is from RNAcentral. Lineage: Eukaryota; Fungi.